This 2929-nucleotide ribosomal RNA is filed under the name Escherichia coli. RNAcentral describes it as "23S ribosomal RNA". It matches the Rfam family "Bacterial large subunit ribosomal RNA". The record is from RNAcentral. Lineage: Bacteria; Pseudomonadati; Pseudomonadota; Gammaproteobacteria; Enterobacterales; Enterobacteriaceae.
GGGUUGUGAGGUUAAGCGACUAAGCGUACACGGUGGAUGCCCUGGCAGUCAGAGGCGAUGAAGGACGUGCUAAUCUGCGAUAAGCGUCGGUAAGGUGAUAUGAACCGUUAUAACCGGCGAUUUCCGAAUGGGGAAACCCAGUGUGUUUCGACACACUAUCAUUAACUGAAUCCAUAGGUUAAUGAGGCGAACCGGGGGAACUGAAACAUCUAAGUACCCCGAGGAAAAGAAAUCAACCGAGAUUCCCCCAGUAGCGGCGAGCGAACGGGGAGCAGCCCAGAGCCUGAAUCAGUGUGUGUGUUAGUGGAAGCGUCUGGAAAGGCGCGCGAUACAGGGUGACAGCCCCGUACACAAAAAUGCACAUGCUGUGAGCUCGAUGAGUAGGGCGGGACACGUGGUAUCCUGUCUGAAUAUGGGGGGACCAUCCUCCAAGGCUAAAUACUCCUGACUGACCGAUAGUGAACCAGUACCGUGAGGGAAAGGCGAAAAGAACCCCGGCGAGGGGAGUGAAAAAGAACCUGAAACCGUGUACGUACAAGCAGUGGGAGCACGCUUCGGCGUGUGACUGCGUACCUUUUGUAUAAUGGGUCAGCGACUUAUAUUCUGUAGCAAGGUUAACCGAAUAGGGGAGCCGAAGGGAAACCGAGUCUUAACUGGGCGUUAAGUUGCAGGGUAUAGACCCGAAACCCGGUGAUCUAGCCAUGGGCAGGUUGAAGGUUGGGUAACACUAACUGGAGGACCGAACCGACUAAUGUUGAAAAAUUAGCGGAUGACUUGUGGCUGGGGGUGAAAGGCCAAUCAAACCGGGAGAUAGCUGGUUCUCCCCGAAAGCUAUUUAGGUAGCGCCUCGUGAAUUCAUCUCCGGGGGUAGAGCACUGUUUCGGCAAGGGGGUCAUCCCGACUUACCAACCCGAUGCAAACUGCGAAUACCGGAGAAUGUUAUCACGGGAGACACACGGCGGGUGCUAACGUCCGUCGUGAAGAGGGAAACAACCCAGACCGCCAGCUAAGGUCCCAAAGUCAUGGUUAAGUGGGAAACGAUGUGGGAAGGCCCAGACAGCCAGGAUGUUGGCUUAGAAGCAGCCAUCAUUUAAAGAAAGCGUAAUAGCUCACUGGUCGAGUCGGCCUGCGCGGAAGAUGUAACGGGGCUAAACCAUGCACCGAAGCUGCGGCAGCGACGCUGAUGCGUUGUUGGGUAGGGGAGCGUUCUGUAAGCCUGCGAAGGUGUGCUGUGAGGCAUGCUGGAGGUAUCAGAAGUGCGAAUGCUGACAUAAGUAACGAUAAAGCGGGUGAAAAGCCCGCUCGCCGGAAGACCAAGGGUUCCUGUCCAACGUUAAUCGGGGCAGGGUGAGUCGACCCCUAAGGCGAGGCCGAAAGGCGUAGUCGAUGGGAAACAGGUUAAUAUUCCUGUACUUGGUGUUACUGCGAAGGGGGGACGGAGAAGGCUAUGUUGGCCGGGCGACGGUUGUCCCGGUUUAAGCGUGUAGGCUGGUUUUCCAGGCAAAUCCGGAAAAUCAAGGCUGAGGCGUGAUGACGAGGCACUACGGUGCUGAAGCAACAAAUGCCCUGCUUCCAGGAAAAGCCUCUAAGCAUCAGGUAACAUCAAAUCGUACCCCAAACCGACACAGGUGGUCAGGUAGAGAAUACCAAGGCGCUUGAGAGAACUCGGGUGAAGGAACUAGGCAAAAUGGUGCCGUAACUUCGGGAGAAGGCACGCUGAUAUGUAGGUGAGGUCCCUCGCGGAUGGAGCUGAAAUCAGUCGAAGAUACCAGCUGGCUGCAACUGUUUAUUAAAAACACAGCACUGUGCAAACACGAAAGUGGACGUAUACGGUGUGACGCCUGCCCGGUGCCGGAAGGUUAAUUGAUGGGGUCAGCGCAAGCGAAGCUCUUGAUCGAAGCCCCGGUAAACGGCGGCCGUAACUAUAACGGUCCUAAGGUAGCGAAAUUCCUUGUCGGGUAAGUUCCGACCUGCACGAAUGGCGUAAUGAUGGCCAGGCUGUCUCCACCCGAGACUCAGUGAAAUUGAACUCGCUGUGAAGAUGCAGUGUACCCGCGGCAAGACGGAAAGACCCCGUGAACCUUUACUAUAGCUUGACACUGAACAUUGAGCCUUGAUGUGUAGGAUAGGUGGGAGGCUUGGAAGUGUGGACGCCAGUCUGCAUGGAGCCGACCUUGAAAUACCACCCUUUAAUGUUUGAUGUUCUAACGUUGACCCGUAAUCCGGGUUGCGGACAGUGUCUGGUGGGUAGUUUGACUGGGGCGGUCUCCUCCUAAAGAGUAACGGAGGAGCACGAAGGUUGGCUAAUCCUGGUCGGACAUCAGGAGGUUAGUGCAAUGGCAUAAGCCAGCUUGACUGCGAGCGUGACGGCGCGAGCAGGUGCGAAAGCAGGUCAUAGUGAUCCGGUGGUUCUGAAUGGAAGGGCCAUCGCUCAACGGAUAAAAGGUACUCCGGGGAUAACAGGCUGAUACCGCCCAAGAGUUCAUAUCGACGGCGGUGUUUGGCACCUCGAUGUCGGCUCAUCACAUCCUGGGGCUGAAGUAGGUCCCAAGGGUAUGGCUGUUCGCCAUUUAAAGUGGUACGCGAGCUGGGUUUAGAACGUCGUGAGACAGUUCGGUCCCUAUCUGCCGUGGGCGCUGGAGAACUGAGGGGGCUGCUCCUAGUACGAGAGGACCGGAGUGGACGCAUCACUGGUGUUCGGGUUGUCAUGCCAAUGGCACUGCCCGGUAGCUAAAUGCGGAAGAGAUAAGUGCUGAAAGCAUCUAAGCACGAAACUUGCCCCGAGAUGAGUUCUCCCUGACCCUUUAAGGGUCCUGAAGGAACGUUGAAGACGACGACGUUGAUAGGCCGGGUGUGUAAGCGCAGCGAUGCGUUGAGCUAACCGGUACUAAUGAACCGUGAGGCUUAACCUUACAACGCCGAAGCUGUU